AAGAUUUUAGUUUAAUGAGAGAGCAAACGACUGAAGAUCUUUGUAUCGUGGUUCAAUUCCACGAAAUCCCA
Molecule: transfer RNA, 71 nt
Filed under: Tritrichomonas foetus
Lineage: Eukaryota; Parabasalia; Tritrichomonadida; Tritrichomonadidae
Rfam family: tRNA
About the family: Transfer RNA (tRNA) molecules are approximately 80 nucleotides in length.
Source: Rfam by way of RNAcentral